RNAcentral lists this ribosomal RNA (429 nucleotides) under Bacteroidota bacterium. Its description in RNAcentral is "Bacteroidetes bacterium partial 16S ribosomal RNA". It matches the Rfam family "Bacterial small subunit ribosomal RNA", at positions 355 to 776 of the family's 1533-position model. The record is from RNAcentral. Lineage: Bacteria; Pseudomonadati; Bacteroidota.
UAGGGAAUCUUCCGCAAUGGACGCAAGUCUGACGGAGCAACGCCGCGUGAGUGAAGAAGGAUUUCGGUUCGUAAAACUCUGUUGUUAGAGAAGAACAGCGCAUAGAGUAACUGUUAUGCGUGUGACGGUAUCUAACCAGAAAGCCACGGCUAACUACGUGCCAGCAGCCGCGGUAAUACGUAGGUGGCAAGCGUUGUCCGGAUUUAUUGGGCGUAAAGCGAGCGCAGGCGGUCAAUUAAGUCUGAUGUGAAAGCCCCCGGCUCAACCGGGGAGGGUCAUUGGAAACUGGUUGACUUGAGUGCAGAAGAGGAGAGGGGAAUUCCAUGGGUGACGGUAAAAUGCGUAAAUAUAUGGAGGAACACCAGUGGGGAAGGCGACUCUCUGGUCUGUAACUGACGCUGAGGUUCGAAAGCGUGGGUAGCAAACAGG